Molecule: ribosomal RNA, 254 nt
Filed under: uncultured bacterium
Lineage: Bacteria
Description: partial 16S ribosomal RNA
Rfam family: Bacterial small subunit ribosomal RNA
Source: RNAcentral
GACGAACCGUCCAAACGUUAUUCGGUAUCACUGGGCUUAAAGGGUGCGUAGGCUGUCCGGUAAGUUGGGUGUGAAAGCCCUCGGCUCAACCGAGGAAUUGCGCCCAAAACUGUCGGGCUAGGGGGAGACAGAGGUGAGCGGAACUUAGGGUGGAGCGGUGAAAUGCGUUGAGAUCCUAAGGAACACCAGUAGCGAAAGCGGCUCACUGGGUCUUGCCUGACGCUGAGUGCACGAAAGCUAGGGGAGCAAACGGG